AGAUUUAUCGCCCAGGGAUGAGCCCGCGUAGGAUUAGCUAGUUGGUGGGGUAAUGGCCUACCAAGGCAACGAUCCUUAGCUGGUCUGAGAGGAUGAUCAGCCACACUGGGACUGAGACACGGCCCAGACUCCUACGGGAGGCAGCAGUGGGGAAUAUUGGACAAUGGGCGAAAGCCUGAUCCAGCAAUGCCGCGUGAGUGAUGAAGGCCUUAGGGUUGUAAAGCUCUUUUACCAGGGAUGAUAAUGACAGUACCUGGAGAAUAAGCUCCGGCUAACUCCGUGCCAGCAGCCGCGGUAAUACGGAGGGAGCUAGCGUUGUUCGGAAUUACUGGGCGUAAAGCGCGCGUAGGCGGUUACUCAAGUCAGAGGUGAAAGCCCGGGGCUCAACCCCGGAACUGCCUUUGAAACUAGGUGACUAGAAUCUUGGAGAGGUCAGUGGAAUU
RNAcentral lists this ribosomal RNA (443 nucleotides) under uncultured bacterium. RNAcentral describes it as "bacterial SSU rRNA". It matches the Rfam family "Bacterial small subunit ribosomal RNA", at positions 205 to 668 of the family's 1533-position model. The record is from RNAcentral.